Long non-coding RNA from Chelonia mydas (Green sea turtle), 3410 nucleotides. RefSeq lists it as uncharacterized. Lineage: Eukaryota; Metazoa; Chordata; Testudines; Cheloniidae. The transcript has 5 exons. The record is from RefSeq and is a predicted model, not a curated record.
UUUAGCUGUGAAAGCUGUCAGACACAGGAGAAGAUAGCUGCACUAGUUACGCACAUCACGGGUGGAGAGACAGCUAUUGCAGCUCCAAAAAUAGCAGCAGAGAGCUGCAUGUUUGUAAAUUCUACUCUCUGUAUUUAUCUAAGAGGACAAGGAACAGCAGUGGCUGGUCAUCAAGGGAUCAUUUUCUUUGCCAGAAGGAUUUUUCAUUCUGCAGAUCAUCUUUUCCACACAAAAAUAACAGAUAGUGAAGAAAAGAAACACUGUCCCAGUUGAACUCAGACAGCUUGUGACUGACACCUACAGAAAAUGAAGCUGAGGGCCGGGCUGGCAAGGGUGCCAGCUGGGAGCAGAGAUGAACCAAAAGCAGAGCCCAGCCUCUUCUUUGCAGGGGAAGUAUGUCUGAGAUAGAAGAACCUGACACUCCUGAUUUCACAGCAAUCAUCUUCCGUUCACUAAAUGUGUGUCUGAGCAACUACUCAGGCAUCACAAAAAAAAGGGUGUAUAAUUAACUGAGUGGAACAGGGGGCUGGGAGUCAGGAUGCCUGUUUUUUUCCCCCAGAUCUUUCACAGACUUCCCGUGUGACCUUGGACAAGUCAUGUCACUGCUCCGUGCCUCAGUUGCCCCAUCAAUGGAAUGUGAAUAAUAACGCCUGACCUUACAGAAGAGGCUUGAUCACAUGUUUUCAGUAUAGUGCUGGGAGCCCUAAUCAUGGAGGAGGACCCCAUCGCACUGGGUGCUGUAACAACAGAACAAAAAGAUGGUCCCUGCACUGAAUUUACAAUCUAAAUAGACAAGAAGACAUAGGGUGUGGAAGGGGUAGAACACACGAGGAGAGUGAACAAUGUGAUGUCAUAGAGUUGAAGGCCAGAAGGGACCACCAGAUCAUCUCCUCUGACCUCCUGGGUAUCACAAUGCUUCAAGCUCUCAUGCUUCAUGUGCUGGCAGGCACGUCACAAAGCAAGGAGUUACAGACCAGCCGUGCAGCGACUGUGCGAACAAACACGGCAAUCAUUCUUCAUGCCCCAGCACCUAGCACACAGGGAUGUGCGUGUGUGUCUCAUGCUGACUGAGUAGAGCUGGCGGGUGUGGGUGCAGAACAUACUUGAGAACACUAGAGCUCCUGGGCCCUGAAGAAGAGAAGUGCAACAAGUUGGUGAAGAGCUAUUAGUUACAGCAAGCUGUUAAGGAGUGAGGGGAGGUGUUUAAAAUCAGCUGCCUCAGGCUCUGGUCUUGCUGCUGGGGUGGAGAAGGGAGGAGUGUUAUUGUGAUAUUUGGUGGCCUGACUGUGGAACCCCAAUCUGCUACAGGCACUACUUGUGUGGGGCAGCAGUUUGUAUGCACAUCCUCCUAGCUCUGGUACUUUCUUCGCAGAAGUCAGCUGGGAGAAAUCAAGGGGUUCUUUCUGAUCAGCCAGUAAUACAUAAAUCAUACCUGAGAAAAGGCAUCUUUUAAAAGGACCGUCCCAUGAUCCAGGCCCUUGAAGCUUAACCCAGAAGUUCACUGGUUUGUUACUGUAGGCCUGCUUGAGAGCACUAAAAGGAUUUUUUUCUCCUAUAGAGUGGCUCCCAAUGCCUGAAUUGCAUAAACUGGCCGAUUAUUGUAGGGUUGCUCCUGAGCAUUGGCUUGUGCCUGCUGGUGUGUUAUUGUAGGGUCUCUAAUGAAGCCUGGGCCACUGGCACCAAUGAUCAUUUUUUUGCUAAGCCAAGGCCAUCUAAGUCUCUUCUAAAAAAGAGAAGCACAAAGGACUCUGCAAGCAAAUGGAAAGGAAGGAAGGAAGGAAGGCAGGCCCCGUGUUGGUCUCCACCUGAUUUUGGUAUCACCCUCUUUCAAUAAAUCUUCAUGGUGACCACCACCUUUGUCAUGUCCCUUCACCAAAAGCCGAGCGUCACCUCCUGCUUCUCAACUGCAUCUGUUCAAGUAUCAGAUUGAAACUGGCUCUUCCUGCUUCCAUUGGUCCAUUGCUUCCAUUGUUGUGUGCAUUGUUGUGUUCCAUUGUUGUGUUCCAACGUAGUUACAGCCAUGUGAGAGAGCGAAUGAGAGGAAGAGGAGAAAAUAACAACAACUGGGGACUCAAGAGGAAGGGGAACCCCCCUGACUGGGCUCCGAUCAAGCCUUCUCCUAUAUACCACCACUGUGCUGGCAUCCAGACCAAGGGAUCUGAGUGGUUCUAGCUGGCUUAUGGAGUUUUGCCAUCAUCUACUCCUUACUAAGAGAGCAAAGCAGCAUCACUGCUUCUGCCUGGAUGCAGCACUGGGAUAUGUCAGUCACUGUGGGACAUGCAGAUCAGCUUCUGACCAAAGGGAGUUUUCUCCAAAUAGACUCUGAGUCUUCUUCCCUACCCCACCCAGCUCCACUCUGAAUUUCCUCUCUCACCUACAGAACUUGAUACUGGCAUGGAAAUCGGGAGCUAACAUUGCUGGCCGGACUACGUUGAGGAAAGCAUUGAUAAUUUAUGUGCUGUAUCUCGCUUACUGCACAAAGAUGAGGGUUGGCAGCUGGGGACAGAACCACGCUCCAGCCCUGUAGUGACAUCGCUUACUAUAAAGGAAGGUUUCUUUCAUAUUGUCACGUGAACUUAGUGCUGGUGAGGGGUGCUGGAUUGAUGGCCCUGGAGAAUGAAGGCCUCUAUUUAUCCACAGCCUAGGUAGAACCCUGGCUGUGGUAAAACAAGCUUCCUACAUAUAUGACCCUUUGUCAACAUACUUCAGCCCUGACCUUCAGGGAGCUCAGUUUCCCCUUUCAGACCUCUGCCUCUCUGCUGAGACUGCCAACAAGGGGCCCAGAGAACAAGGCCAAGUGUGAUGGUGGUUUGCAUGCCAUGGACAUGUGUACACUGGGAACCUUAUAAAGAGCUGCCUACUCAUUAGUGAGAGGCCACGUAAGAGCAGUCCUCUAGUCUAGGAUGGCUUUGAGUUAGCAACCUUGAGGUCAGAAGCUUUCUAUUCAAUUAGCAGUCUGCCUUGAGCAAUCUACUCCACUGUCUAGGACGUGCCUAAUCUAUCCCCACAAAGAGGCCUCAUUGGGCAGAGCGGCCCCCUGGUAUAGACCCAAUGAUACUCCCACUAAAAUGAAUAACAAAAUUCCCAUUGACUUCAAUGGGCACAGGAUCAGAACCAAAGUUUCUGUUGGCUCUAUACUUUUGCAGAUGGUCUGUGGCUCUUUAAAAUUCCUCCCCUGUGUACAAUAGGCAAUAAGGUGGUAUAAUUGUCCAUCCCCUGUCUACAUUAGGGCUCCCAUUAUCGUGCACACGAAUUCAGCUCCAUCACUGGGAACAACGAUGGGAGAGUUUAGAUAAAAGAGGCUAGUGUAGACACUGAUGUAGCCUACCCCAGAAUCAGAGUGAGGAAGCCCCAGGAAUGAAACCCACAUGUCCUGCCCCACAGUCUUCUUUAACUGGUAGACAAUGCUC